CUUGGCGUAAUAGACUAUUCGCUGAGGAAUUCUAGUCUUCGGAUUAGAGCCGGGUUGGGUUAAAGGAAGCUUCUAAUCAGAAUGUCUACAUUUUAAGAUUAGAUCUCAAAUCAGGUAGGACUACCCGCUGAACUUAAGCAUAUCAAUAAGCGGAGGAAAAGAAACUAACAAGGAUUCCCCUAGUAGCGGCGAGCGAAGCGGGAAGAGCUCAAAUUUAUAAUCUGGCACCUUCGGUGUCCGAGUUGUAAUCUCUAGAAAUGUUUUCCGCGUUGGACCGCACACAAGUCUGUUGGAAAACAGCGGCAUAGUGGUGAGACCCCCGUAUAUGGUGCGGACGCCCAGCGCUUUGUGAUACAUUUUCGAAGAGUCGAGUUGUUUGGGAAUGCAGCUCAAAUUGGGUGGUAAAUUCCAUCUAAAGCUAAAUAUUGGCGAGAGACCGAUAGCGAACAAGUACCGUGAGGGAAAGAUGAAAAGCACUUUGGAAAGAGAGUUAACAGUACGUGAAAUUGUUGGAAGGGAAACGCUUGAAGUCAGACUUGCUUGCUGAGCAAUCGGUUUGCAGGCCAGCAUCAGUUUUCCGGGAUGGAUAAUGGUAGAGAGAAGGUAGCAGUUUCGGCUGUGUUAUAGCUCUCUGCUGGAUACAUCUUGGGGGACUGAGGAACGCAGUGUGCCUUUGGCGGGGGUUUCGAC
RNAcentral lists this ribosomal RNA (690 nucleotides) under Rhodotorula mucilaginosa. RNAcentral describes it as "eukaryotic LSU rRNA". The stretch from base 101 to 690 matches the Rfam family "Eukaryotic large subunit ribosomal RNA", at positions 1 to 587 of the family's 3401-position model. The record is from RNAcentral. Lineage: Eukaryota; Fungi; Basidiomycota; Microbotryomycetes; Sporidiobolales; Sporidiobolaceae.